UCGGGCCUAACACAUGCAAGUCGUACGAGAGCUUUUAACUCUAGUGGCGGACGGGUGAGUAACACGUGAGAAUUUGCCUUUAGGAGGGGGACAACAAUUGGAAACGAAUGCUAAUACCCCAUAUGCUUUCGAGUGAAAUGGAUUUUAUCCGCCUAGAGAGAAGCUCGCGGCUGAUUAGCUUGUUGGUAAGGUAAGAGCUUACCAAGGCGACGAUCAGUAUCUGGUUUGAGAGGACGAUCAGACACACUGGAACUGAGACACGGUCCAGACUCCUACGGGAGGCAGCAGUGGGGAAUUUUCCGCAAAGGGCGAAAGCCUGACGGAGCAAUACCGCGUGAGGGAUAGAGAGCCUAUGGGUUGUAAACCUCUUUUUCAGGGAGGAAUAAAUGA
This 390-nucleotide ribosomal RNA is filed under the name uncultured bacterium. Its description in RNAcentral is "bacterial SSU rRNA". It matches the Rfam family "Bacterial small subunit ribosomal RNA", at positions 42 to 456 of the family's 1533-position model. The record is from RNAcentral.